CUACUACAAGCUUCUCAUAAUCCUGUGGUCCAGCCAACUGUCCUAUACAGGAAUCAGCACAGAAAGAGCAUGAGGUCUGUAUGCGCAUCCACAAAAGGAAGAGCAUGAGGUCAAAAUGCCAUCUCUGAAGGACUGCCAGAAGUUCAAAUGCAAAGUGAUGACAAACAAUGAAUGUCAGGAUUUUUCAGCAAUACUGUGAUAAGUAGAAGAUGGAUAAAUUCAUCCAUUCCAGGCCAAUCAGAAGGAAGAAACAGGAUUGCAGGCACGCCUACUGAAAUCACUCAACCAAUUGAAGAAACAGAAUGAGAUCUGGAUUAUAGGGUUUCAGAUAAUACCAAGUCCCUUGUGAAAGCUUUUUGACUUCUGAUGACUUCAGUUCAAGUCCCAGUUGGGCUCCUGAUCAGCAGGGUAGCUGAUUUCCCAAUGAAGAAAGAGAGGAAAUGUGUAAACUUGUUGAAGUGCUCCACAAGCUCCAGCUUGCAAACCUCGCAGAGGCUGCAGUCCAUCCAGUGCUCAGACUCUCACCUAAUACAACAUACUAGAAAGAUGGAAUUUGUUCUGGACUUUUCA
RNAcentral lists this long non-coding RNA (570 nucleotides) under Gallus gallus (chicken). RNAcentral describes it as "lncRNA (ENSGALG00010007138.1)". The record is from RNAcentral. Lineage: Eukaryota; Metazoa; Chordata; Aves; Galliformes; Phasianidae.